AUUGCACGUAUGUUAAUCAUGUAGUGUUCUAAACCUAUUGUGAGCUUCCCAACACUACAACAAACAACCAUAUAAUUAAUUGGUGAUCAAGCAAUCAAAUAAUAAAAUUAAGCAUGCAAGAUUAAUCAAUAAUUGCAAGAGUUCUACUAAGCCAUGUGUCUCGAAUUAAAAAUAAAUAAUAACGGGUUUCAUUUUCAUCCAAUACAUGAGAAAAAUUAGUCUAACAUAUUAUUGGAAUUAAACACAAAAAAAUUGGAAAGACGUCACCGGAAUUUUAGCGAACGUGAUUAAUUCCACACUUUUCCUUAGUUCAUGCAUGCGUGUAUAUGUUAUUUUCUUCAAAAACAGCCAUCCAAUUGUUUUUAUCAACUGCCAAUCAAUUUGCUCCUUAAUUUCUAGCCAUGUAUCUCUCUCCUUUGACCCAAGGCAACCUUCAAUUCCUUCCUGCAACAGCAACCUUUAUUCUGGUUCUUUUUUUUUUUUUUUUUUCCAAUCCCAGCUUCCCUCUGUUGCAUGUAUAUAUGUCUCUCAAUUCCUCAAAGUUAGCCGCCAAUGUGUGUAAUAAUAUUUCCCCAGAUUUGCAGCUGUCUUCCCUUCUUUCCUGAUUCGGUUUGGUCGAUAAAAAAAAUCCAAAUUCAGCCCCUUUUUCUGUGCGUAUACUCCUCUCUAAUUUCACAAGGCAAACGCUUAAUUUCUCCUCUCCCAAACAGUGUGCGUAUGGAGUUUCUCUAAAUUAUAGCAGCCCCCAAGUUGCCUUUUUUUCUUCUGUGGGUUUUUCUCCUCCUUUUGCCAAAUUCUCCCUCCAGUUCGCCUGCGUGAGUUACAUACAUACAUACAUACACACACACACACACACACACAUAUAUAUAUAUAUAUAGACACACACACACACACACACACAAAAUCCCAAGCAGCCCACGUUUAUUUUGUAUGAUUUGAAUUUCAAAGUGACAACAAUUAUUGACUUCCAAUACAAAUCCAAUCCUUUUCUUCCUGUCGGCAGCCCACUUCUUUU
Molecule: long non-coding RNA, 1015 nt
Filed under: Olea europaea subsp. europaea
Lineage: Eukaryota; Viridiplantae; Streptophyta; Magnoliopsida; Lamiales; Oleaceae
Source: RNAcentral